RNAcentral lists this unclassified non-coding RNA (55 nucleotides) under Mesorhizobium prunaredense. Its description in RNAcentral is "sroB". Lineage: Bacteria; Pseudomonadati; Pseudomonadota; Alphaproteobacteria; Hyphomicrobiales; Phyllobacteriaceae. The record is from RNAcentral.
CAGACAUUGUUGGCGACCACUCUGGAGGUCGCGGUUGCGCACAGCUGCGGAAGUU